RNAcentral lists this ribosomal RNA (114 nucleotides) under Acanthosepion pharaonis. Lineage: Eukaryota; Metazoa; Mollusca; Cephalopoda; Sepiida; Sepiidae. The record is from RNAcentral.
UACGGUCAAAUCACGCUGAAAACACCGGUUCUCGUUCGAUCACCGAAGUUAAGCAUCGUAGAGCCAGGUCAGUACUUAGAUGGGGGACCGCUUGGGAACACCUGGUACUGUAAG